RNAcentral lists this ribosomal RNA (253 nucleotides) under uncultured bacterium. Its description in RNAcentral is "partial 16S ribosomal RNA". It matches the Rfam family "Bacterial small subunit ribosomal RNA", at positions 524 to 776 of the family's 1533-position model. The record is from RNAcentral.
AACGUAGGAGGCAAGCGUUAUCCGGAUUUACUGGGCGUAAAGCGCGUGCAGGUGGUUUGGUAAGUCGUGCGUGAAAGCUCCUCGCUCGACGAGGAGAGGCCGUGCGAGACUGCGAGACUAGAGUCAGAUAGAGGCAAGUGGAAUUCCGGGUGUAGUGGUGAAAUGCGUAGAGAUCCGGAGGAAUACCAGUGGCGAAGGCGGCUUGCUGGGUCUAGACUGACACUCAGACGCGAAAGCAUGGGGAGCGAACGGG